AGAGUUUGAUCCUGGCUCAGGAUGAACGCUAGCGGGAGGCUUAACACAUGCAAGUCGAGGGGUAAGGUCAAGCUUGCUUGACACACGACCGGCGCACGGGUGAGUAACGCGUAUGCAACCUACCUUUUACAGGAGGAUAGCCCUAAGAAAUUGGGAUUAAUACUCCAUAGUUUUGAGAUUUCGCAUGAGAUUUCAAAUAAAGUUCCGGCGGUAAAAGAUGGGCAUGCGUACCAUUAGCUAGUUGGUGAGGUAACGGCUCACCAAGGCAACGAUGGUUAUGGGGUCUAAAAGGAUGGUCCCACACACUGGUACUGAGACACGGACCAGACUCCUACGGGAGGCAGCAGUGAGGAAUAUUGGUCAAUGGGCGGAAGCCUGAACCAGCCAUCCCGCGUGCAGGAAUACAGCCCUAGAGGUUUUAAACUGCUUUUAUAUACGAAGAAUAAGCUAUACGUGUAUAGUGAUGCCGGUAGUAUAUGAAUAAGCACCGGCUAACUCCGUGCCAGCAGCCGCGGUAAUACGGAGGGUGCAAGCGUUAUCCGGAUUUAUUAGGUUUAAAGGGUGCGUAGGCUGAUGCUUAAGUCAGUGGUAAAAUCCAUUAGCUCAACUAAUGUAAGCCAUUGAAACUGGGUGUCUUGAGUUCGGUUGAGGUAGGCGGAAUGUGUUGUGUAGCGGUGAAAUGCAUAGAUAUAACACAGAACACCGAUUGCGAAGGCAGCUUACUAAGCCGUUACUGACGCUGAUGCACGAAAGCGUGGGUAUCAAACAGGAUUAGAUACCCUGGUAGUCCACGCUGUAAACGAUGAUCACUCGUUGUUGGCGAUACACAGUCAGCGACUGAGCGAAAGCAUUAAGUGAUCCACCUGGGGAGUACGUUCGCAAGAAUGAAACUCAAAGGAAUUGACGGGGGCCCGCACAAGCGGAGGAACAUGUGGUUUAAUUCGAUGAUACGCG
This 954-nucleotide ribosomal RNA is filed under the name oral metagenome. Its description in RNAcentral is "bacterial SSU rRNA". It matches the Rfam family "Bacterial small subunit ribosomal RNA", at positions 8 to 963 of the family's 1533-position model. The record is from RNAcentral.